Molecule: transfer RNA, 79 nt
Filed under: Halocynthiibacter styelae
Lineage: Bacteria; Pseudomonadati; Pseudomonadota; Alphaproteobacteria; Rhodobacterales; Paracoccaceae
Description: tRNA-Pro
Rfam family: tRNA
About the family: Transfer RNA (tRNA) molecules are approximately 80 nucleotides in length. Their secondary structure includes four short double-helical elements and three loops (D, anti-codon, and T loops).
Source: RNAcentral
CAGGGAUUAGCUUAGUCUGGUCAAAAGGGCCGCACCUGGAAUGCGGAGAUCGGAGGUUCAAAUCCUCCAUCCCUGACCA